UGUCAAAUAUAUCUGGUUUCCAAAAUUGUUGCAAACUUUCAACUAUUUUGAUGAGUUGUUUGGAAUUUAUUAACAUAAAAAAUCCUUUUACAGAUGUCUACAACAGAAAUAAUUUAUAAUUUGAACAUAAUAUAUUUAAUUAUCAAAUCUGCAACCAUAAAGGAUAUCACCAGAAACAAAGAUGUGAUGGUUAUAUAAGAUAAUAUUGAAUUUUUCUGGCGAUAUCCGCCAAUAACUCGAAUGUUGAACAAUGCCCAUUUCAAGGCUUUUAUUUGGUUUGUGUCGGCUUCACCAGCCAUAACCAACUACUUCUUAGUUCGGUGUUUGACGAAUCAUCAUAAGCUUAAACAUUAAGUUUUUUGCCGUUGUAAGUUAAAUUACAAUGACCUACCAACC
Dalotia coriaria is the source of this 396-nucleotide long non-coding RNA. RefSeq lists it as uncharacterized. NCBI's taxonomy places the organism in Eukaryota, Metazoa, Arthropoda, Insecta, Coleoptera, Staphylinidae. The record is from RefSeq and is a predicted model, not a curated record. The transcript has 3 exons.